RNAcentral lists this ribosomal RNA (429 nucleotides) under Chloroflexota bacterium. RNAcentral's name for it is "Chloroflexi bacterium partial 16S ribosomal RNA". It matches the Rfam family "Bacterial small subunit ribosomal RNA", at positions 355 to 776 of the family's 1533-position model. Lineage: Bacteria; Bacillati; Chloroflexota. The record is from RNAcentral.
UGGGGAAUAUUGCACAAUGGGCGCAAGCCUGAUGCAGCCAUGCCGCGUGUGUGAAGAAGGCCUUCGGGUUGUAAAGCACUUUCAGCGGGGAGGAAGGCGAUAAGGUUAAUAACCUUGUCGAUUGACGUUACCCGCAGAAGAAGCACCGGCUAACUCCGUGCCAGCAGCCGCGGUAAUACGGAGGGUGCAAGCGUUAAUCGGAAUUACUGGGCGUAAAGCGCACGCAGGCGGUCUGUCAAGUCGGAUGUGAAAUCCCCGGGCUUAACCUGGGAACUGCAUUCGAAACUGGCAGGCUAGAGGCUUGUAGAGGGGGGUAGAAUUCCAGGUGUAGCGGUGAAAUGCGUAGAGAUCUGGAGGAAUACCGGUGGCGAAGGCGGCCCCCUGGACAAAGACUGACGCUCAGGUGCGAAAGCGUGGGGAGCAAACAGG